UGUAAGUAUGCUCCUAUAUGCUUUAUUUAUGCAAUUACCUAGUCUAUCCAGUGAAAACGUACUUCCAUAACACAAGUUACCUACUUAUCUAGCUUUGUUUGCUGAUGUAAUCCGAAAAUGUGCUAUAAUGGCCGGCUGAUGGUAGCUCACAUUUACAUACCAGCUAGCAGCUAGCUGCUAACGUGUAGCUUGCGCAAGCUAAUUUAGCUCACUUAGUCCUGUCCAACUUUAUGAACUUUUUUAGAAAUGUAUAAUUAACUCAAUACUGAAUUUAAAAUGAGCGCAACUUGAUUUGACGGUAACCUUAUGUGUUUGCCCGUGAACAACAAAAGUUGCCUUGCGUGAGCUAGCAUUAGCAGGCUAGCUUGUUGACCAACGAUAACUUAAAGUUGUUACACAAACAUAAUAGUUUUUUGUUAACGUUAUGAAAGCUUAGAUGUUGGACUCGGGAGUCUUAUCUCCCGAGAGAAAACUUAAGCUAUUUCGUAUGAGUUUAAACCUCAUUUCAUUCUGGGAGGGAGGCUGAUUUCACAUUGUUUCCCUGUCCUGAUUUGAAAUGCUGAUUUUAAAUUAUGAACGACGUUAGCGGCUGGUUCCAAAACGUAAACCUAUGCGCCCUGUCACCCUCAUGCUCAGACAUUGUUGACACUUUUAGAAGGCAGGAACAGAACAGCUUCGGGAUUCAUGCCCUUAUAUUUUGUACACGUUAGUGAGAAACCAACUAACUGUCCUACUAUUCAAUCUAAAUAGUAGAGAUUCCUCCCUAACUUUUAUUAAGUAAAAAUUCCGAAGCCAUUUGUUUAAUGCAGAAAUACUGCCGUCUACGAGUUCAUUUAAUGAUGUUGAAAGUUUGUUGGAGUAAGAUUUGACUGAAAAGGGACAAUUAGAAGAGGCAGUAGUUGACUUGAUGUAUAUCCUUGCUUUGCCUUGUCACGGACCAGACUGUUUUCAAUGUUUAGAAUGGGGUGUAAUAUUAAGUAUUGAUAAAUAUUUGCCUAUUUCUUUCUGAUGAUGAGAGUAAUGCAUAUUUAUGUAUCUGUAUUACAGGUCAUUCACAAGUCUGGUUUGGGGGUCUACCCUUGCUCAUCCUGUCCUGCCACCCAAGUAAAAAGAGAAAUAACCACAGGCUCUGCAACUGCUGUUUCCAGGUCAUUCACAAGUCUGGUUUGGGGGUCUACCCUUGCUUAUCCUGUCCUGCCACCCAAGUAAAAAGAGAAAUAACUACAGGCCUCUGCAACUGCUGUCUCUAGGAACGGUACGCAAGUGUCCAGUGACAGCCCAGGCAACGGAUACCGUAGCGACAUUCACCAAUGUGCUGGCGCAUGACCGAGAAGGGGGGACGUCGCAAACGCCAGUGUGAAGGAGCAAGCUAGAUUCAUUGAUGAUCAUCAUGUUUUGAAUAAA
Molecule: long non-coding RNA, 1404 nt
Organism: Sardina pilchardus (European sardine)
Lineage: Eukaryota; Metazoa; Chordata; Actinopteri; Clupeiformes; Clupeidae
Exons: 5
Source: RefSeq, a predicted model, not a curated record